Molecule: long non-coding RNA, 297 nt
Organism: Chinchilla lanigera (long-tailed chinchilla)
Lineage: Eukaryota; Metazoa; Chordata; Mammalia; Rodentia; Chinchillidae
Exons: 2
Source: RefSeq, a predicted model, not a curated record
GCUUAAACGUCCGCUCACACAGCCCCUGGCAAAACACAACACGAGGCUACGACUGAGCAAGGCGCUGGAACCCACUGAGGAGCCAGCACAGCCACGCUGUCAUUUCAGCAUAACAUCACUGGGAAGAAAAUUACAAGUUUCAUGAUGGAAGGAAAUCUAAAUGCUGAGAUUUGGCCUUCCACAUGAAGCAUGACAGCAAGUCACAGAGCAAACCCGGGGGUAAAGGAGGUCAGCCCAGAAGUAAAUGGAAAGCCUGAGCACUUCCUCAUUGUGUGCAAUAAAGGAAAAUUCCACUUG